UACAGAGGGUGCUAGCGUUAAUCGGAUUUACUGGGCGUAAAGCGUGUGUAGGCGGUUCGUUAAGUCGGAUGUGAAAGCCCUGGGCUCAACCUAGGAAUUGCAUUCGAUACUGGCGGGCUAGAGUACGGUAGAGGGCGGCGGAAUUCCGGGUGUAGCGGUGAAAUGCGUAGAUAUCGAGCGGAACACCAGUGGCGAAGGCGAGUUCCUGGACAAGUCCUGACGCUGAGGCACGAAAGCCAGGGGAGCAAACAGG
RNAcentral lists this ribosomal RNA (253 nucleotides) under uncultured prokaryote. RNAcentral's name for it is "partial 16S ribosomal RNA". It matches the Rfam family "Bacterial small subunit ribosomal RNA", at positions 524 to 776 of the family's 1533-position model. The record is from RNAcentral.